RNAcentral lists this ribosomal RNA (467 nucleotides) under uncultured Pelagibacterales bacterium. RNAcentral's name for it is "bacterial SSU rRNA". It matches the Rfam family "Bacterial small subunit ribosomal RNA", at positions 89 to 590 of the family's 1533-position model. The record is from RNAcentral. Lineage: Bacteria; Pseudomonadati; Pseudomonadota; Alphaproteobacteria; Candidatus Pelagibacterales.
UACUUAGUGGCAGACGGGUGAGUAACAUGUGGGUAUCUACCCUUUGGCCUGGAAUAACACGAGGAAACUUGUGCUAAUACCGGAUAAGUCUUUACGGAGAAAGCUUUAUGCACCAUUGGAUGAGCCCGCACUUGAUUAGUUUGUUGGUAGGGUAAUGGCCUACCAAGACUAUGAUCAAUAGCUGAUUUGAGAGGAUGAUCAGCCACAUUGGGACUGAGACACGGCCCAAACUCCUACGGGAGGCAGCAGUGGGGAAUCUUGCACAAUGGAGGAAACUCUGAUGCAGCGAUGCCGCGUGAGUGAAGAAGGCCUUUGGGUUGUAAAGCUCUUUCGUCGGGGAAGAAAAUGACUGUACCCGAAUAAGAAGGUCCGGCUAACUUCGUGCCAGCAGCCGCGGUAAUACGAAGGGACCUAGCGUAGUUCGGAAUUACUGGGCUUAAAGAGUUCGUAGGUGGUUGAAAAAGUUG